This 590-nucleotide ribosomal RNA is filed under the name uncultured bacterium. RNAcentral describes it as "partial 16S ribosomal RNA". It matches the Rfam family "Bacterial small subunit ribosomal RNA", at positions 355 to 1375 of the family's 1533-position model. The record is from RNAcentral.
UGGGGAAUUUUGGACAAUGGGCGAAAGCCUGAUCCAGCAAUGCCGCGUGUGUGAAGAAGGCCUUCGGGUUGUAAAGCACUUUUGUCCGGAAAGAAAUCCUUGGCUCUAAUACAGUCGGGGGAUGACGGUACCGGAAGAAUAAGCACCGGCUAACUACGUGCCAGCAGCCGCGGUAAUACGUAGGGUGCAAGCGUUAAUCGGAAUUACUGGGCGUAAAGCGUGCGCAGGCGGUUUGCUAAGACCGAUGUGAAAUCCCCGGGCUCAACCUGGGAACUGCAUUGGUGACUGGCAGGCUAGAGUAUGGCAGAGGGGGGUAGAAUUCCACGUGUAGCAGUGAAAUGCGUAGAGAUGUGGAGGAAUACCGAUGGCGAAGGCAGCCCCCUGGGCCAAAUACUGACGCUCAUGCACGAAAGCGUGGGGAGCAAAACAGGAUUAGAUACCCUGGUAGUCCACGCCCUAAAACGAUGUCAACUAGUUGUUGGGGAUUCAUUUCCUUAGUAACGUAGCUAACGCGCGAAGUUGACCGCCUGGGGGAGUACGGUCGCAAGAUUAAAAACUUAAAGGAAUUGACGGGGUCAUAGCUGUUUCCU